RNAcentral lists this unclassified non-coding RNA (240 nucleotides) under soil metagenome. Its description in RNAcentral is "partial contains 5.8S ribosomal RNA, internal transcribed spacer 2, and large subunit ribosomal RNA". The record is from RNAcentral.
AACCUUAUGGACCUGCGGGCGUAUACCUGCGGAAGGAUCAUUACACAAUAAACAUAUGAAGGCUGCACCGCCAACAGGCGGCAAGGCUGGAGUAUUUUAUUACCCUUGUCUUUUGCGCACUUGUUGUUUCCUGGGCGGGUUCGCCCGCCUCCAGGACCACAUGAUAAACCUUUUUUAUGCAGUUGCAAUCAGCGUCAGUACAACAAAUGUAAAUCAUUUACAACUUUUAGCAAUGGAUCU